UAGAAAAAAGAAGGAGGCAGCCUAGGAUGAAAGGCUGUGGUAGGUCCAUAGGCUUUCUGGGAAAUUCAUCCCAUAUGCUCGCUGCCUGAUGAGUAUCGCGGAGAAAGGAAUACAAAAAGAGCCACUGCACAGUGCCAAAGAAGCACAAAGCUAACCUGCAUAGUGCCAAUCGAGUACAAAGUCAAAGAGACCAACCAAUCCCAAUAGGAUGGAUGAAAUUUGAACCGAGAUAAGAGGACUUGAACAUGUUUGGGGUUCAAGGUUGUGACUGCUUUGACAUAUAUCAGAGGCAGAUCUUCCUCAUCCUACAUUCUUCCAAGUACCUCACUUUGGCUGCCAUCCUGACUCCAGUAUCACUGAAAGAAAGGAAAACAAGACCACAGAAUGCUAUUUCCCAA
This is a long non-coding RNA of Monodelphis domestica (gray short-tailed opossum), 398 nucleotides long. RefSeq lists it as uncharacterized. Lineage: Eukaryota; Metazoa; Chordata; Mammalia; Didelphimorphia; Didelphidae. The record is from RefSeq and is a predicted model, not a curated record.